RNAcentral lists this long non-coding RNA (1335 nucleotides) under Nicotiana tabacum (common tobacco). RNAcentral's name for it is "long non-coding RNA (NTAB_LNC013391)". The record is from RNAcentral. Lineage: Eukaryota; Viridiplantae; Streptophyta; Magnoliopsida; Solanales; Solanaceae.
UAUAAAGCUUGGCCAACAAGGCCGCUAUAUUUAUUACAACUGGCAAACCAACCAAAUAUAUAUACAAGGCCUGAAAGCCCAGCAUACUGCACUAACUAACAAGAUAUGUCUACAAGCCUCUACUAAUGGAUAUACUGUGAUAGAAACGGCUAUCCGACCUACUCAUGAUAUAUAUACGUAUAUAUACAAGAUAUACAUAAGGCUCUAGACCCAGAAACUCUGAAAGGCAUGGAGCUUACCAAUCAAGUUGAGUUCGGGCAACACUUAUUGAAGAGGCCUACUCGUCUGUCUGCCUAACCUGCACGCAUGAAAUGCAGCGCCCCCAGAAAAGGGACGUCAGUACGAAAUAAUGUACUGAGUAUGUAAAGCAAUAUACUGAAAGCUGAAACUGAACUGAUAAUAUAAUAACUGCAAGUAGCUGGAAGUCAAACAUAAUCUGAAGAUAUGCUUACGUGCUGAUAAUGACUCAAUUCUCUCAAUAUAGUAAGUAAAAUAGUUGUCCGACCCUAUAAGGCUCGAUAUACAUAUAUAUCUUCUCUGUCGUAGUAGGCUCGCUCAUAAGCGCUCGACCAUACUAGGCUCUGUAUCUCGACUAACUGGGCUCGCUCAUAAGCAUUCGGCCACAGUAGGAUCGUCAUAUAACUUACCAUCUGAUCAGAGGUUGCCCAAUAGGGGCCUGCCCAUCGAUUAUAGCUCGAUGGUAAUGAAAAUACUUUUAAUACUAUAUAUAUAUAUAUAUAACUUCUCUGCUCUCUUGACUNNNNNNNNNNNNNNNNNNNNNNNNNGGAAGAAUGAAAUAUUCAAAUGAAUAUGAAGUCCCUAUAAGAAAAAUAUUAUAACUUACAACACUAGGAAAAUAUACGCAAUUUGCGAGACUAGCAAAAUAUACGUAAAUUCCGGGAUAUGAAUGUAAAGACGAGAUCAUGCCAAAUGAAAGAAGAGCUUAGCUUUAACAUACCUGAGCCGAUUUUCCUGACAAUCCCUUAAAAAUGAGAGCAUGUAAUUGCAAAAUCUAGGCAGUUCCUCAUAAUCGACACAUCUAUGAAGUUAAAGUACAAUGUAAGGUACAUCUGAUUAAUGUAAAUGAAACUACAAGUUUGCUUUGGGAGCCGUAAUUUCCCACUUCCAAAUUUGGCUUGCAUAAUCACAUACACUUGCAUUGUCUUGCUUCUCAAAGACCAGUUCCAUAGCUUCAACAUUAAGGAUAUAACGUCCAAUUGGCAAUGAAUGUCAUUAAAAUGUAUAGAGCUUACCAUAUCCAUCCUGAUUAUUGAGAACUUCCAGUAUGGCUCUAUGGUAAUCAUAUCCUUCCAUGCUUAUAGGAAAUGAAAUAAA